AAUCUCUGAAUAAAUUUGAGUAGCAAGUAUCAGAAACUUGAUCCUAAAUAUUAAAAAUACAUCCUUCCUUUGGAGGGAGCGUGUAGUAAACGUGUUAGUGUGAUUGUAAGCAUGCUGUCUUUCUGGAGGUCGCUUUGUUCCUGCAUCCACUGCUUUCAUUUCAGGGAUGUUCACGGAACGCCAGCCACCAAAGGGCCAGGAAGCAUCCCCCUGCAGGACCAGCACUUGGCCCUGGCCAUCCUGCUGGAGCUGGCUGUGCAGAGAGGCACGCUGAGCCAAAUGUUGUCUGCCAUCCUGUUGUUGCUUCAGCUGUGGGACAGCGGGGCACAGGAGACUGACAAUGAGCGUUCCGCCCAGGGCACCAGCGCCCCACUUUUGCCCUUGCUGCAAAGGUUCCAGAGCAUCAUUUGCAGGAAGGAUGCACCCCACUCCGAGGGCGACAUGCACGUGAGUGUCAUGAUGGAACUUUGUGUUUAGGUGGCACUCGAGUCUAGUUACUUUUAAAGCAAGACUAGCAUGCAUGUCAACGGCAGUGUUUUUCUCUGGCGUGUGUGUGUUUGGUGGUAAUAGCAGCGAGUCAGAUGAGACAGGUGUGGGUGGUCACUUGUUUGUGGAGAA
RNAcentral lists this small RNA (618 nucleotides) under Pan troglodytes (chimpanzee). Its description in RNAcentral is "retained intron". Lineage: Eukaryota; Metazoa; Chordata; Mammalia; Primates; Hominidae. The record is from RNAcentral.